This 71-nucleotide transfer RNA is filed under the name Liolaemus darwinii. RNAcentral describes it as "tRNA-Gln". It matches the Rfam family "tRNA". From Rfam's summary of the family: Transfer RNA (tRNA) molecules are approximately 80 nucleotides in length. Their secondary structure includes four short double-helical elements and three loops (D, anti-codon, and T loops). Further hydrogen bonds mediate the characteristic L-shaped molecular structure. tRNAs have two regions of fundamental functional importance: the anti-codon, which is responsible for specific mRNA codon recognition, and the 3' end, to which the tRNAs corresponding amino acid is attached (by aminoacyl-tRNA synthetases). tRNAs cope with the degeneracy of the genetic code in two manners: having more than one tRNA (with a specific anti-codon) for a particular amino acid; and 'wobble' base-pairing, i.e. permitting non-standard base-pairing at the 3rd anti-codon position. Lineage: Eukaryota; Metazoa; Chordata; Lepidosauria; Squamata. The record is from RNAcentral.
UAGAUGGUAGUAUAAUGGAGUGCUAGAGGUUUUGAGCCUCUAAGUGCGGGUUCGAGUCCUGUCCUUCUAAG